UGCAGUCGAGCGGUACAGAGAGAAGCUUGCUUUCUUUGCUGACGAGCGGCGGACGGGUGAGUAAUGCCUGGGAAUAUGCCUUGAUGUGGGGGAUAACCAUUGGAAACGAUGGCUAAUACCGCAUAAUGCCUACGGGCCAAAGAGGGGGAUCUUCGGACCUCUCGCGUCAAGAUUAGCCCAGGUGGGAUUAGCUAGUUGGUGAGGUAAUGGCUCACCAAGGCGACGAUCCCUAGCUGGUCUGAGAGGAUGAUCAGCCACACUGGAACUGAGACACGGUCCAGACUCCUACGGGAGGCAGCAGUGGGGAAUAUUGCACAAUGGGCGCAAGCCUGAUGCAGCCAUGCCGCGUGUGUGAAGAAGGCCUUCGGGUUGUAAAGCACUUUCAGUCGUGAGGAAGGUAGUUGCGUUAAUAGCGUAAUUAUUUGACGUUAGCGACAGAAGAAGCACCGGCUAACUCCGUGCCAGCAGCCGCGGUAAUACGGAGGGUGCGAGCGUUAAUCGGAAUUACUGGGCGUAAAGCGCAUGCAGGUGGUUUGUUAAGUCAGAUGUGAAAGCCCGGGGCUCAACCUCGGAAUUGCAUUUGAAACUGGCAGACUAGAGUACUGUAGAGGGGGGUAGAAUUUCAGGUGUAGCGGUGAAAUGCGUAGAGAUCUGAAGGAAUACCGGUGGCGAAGGCGGCCCCCUGGACAGAUACUGACACUCAGAUGCGAAAGCGUGGGGAGCAAACAGGAUUAGAUACCCUGGUAGUCCACGCCGUAAACGAUGUCUACUUGGAGGUUGUGGCCUUGAGCCGUGGCUUUCGGAGCUAACGCGUUAAGUAGACCGCCUGGGGAGUACGGUCGCAAGAUUAAAACUCAAAUGAAUUGACGGGGGCCCGCACAAGCGGUGGAGCAUGUGGUUUAAUUCGAUGCAACGCGAAGAACCUUACCUACUCUUGACAUCCAGAGAAGCCAGCGGAGACGCAGGUGUGCCUUCGGGAACUCUGAGACAGGUGCUGCAUGGCUGUCGUCAGCUCGUGUUGUGAAAUGUUGGGUUAAGUCCCGCAACGAGCGCAACCCUUAUCCUUGUUUGCCAGCGAGUAAUGUCGGGAACUCCAGGGAGACUGCCGGUGAUAAACCGGAGGAAGGUGGGGACGACGUCAAGUCAUCAUGGCCCUUACGAGUAGGGCUACACACGUGCUACAAUGGCGCAUACAGAGGGCUGCCAACCAGCGAUGGUGAGCGAAUCCCAAAAAGUGCGUCGUAGUCCGGAUUGGAGUCUGCAACUCGACUCCAUGAAGUCGGAAUCGCUAGUAAUCGUAGAUCAGAAUGCCACGGUGAAUACGUUCCCGGGCCUUGUACACACCGCCCGUCACACCAUGGGAGUGGGCUGCAAAAGAAGUGGGUAGUUAACCUUUCGAGGA
RNAcentral lists this ribosomal RNA (1402 nucleotides) under Vibrio sp. HGLP-13. Its description in RNAcentral is "bacterial SSU rRNA". It matches the Rfam family "Bacterial small subunit ribosomal RNA". The record is from RNAcentral. Lineage: Bacteria; Pseudomonadati; Pseudomonadota; Gammaproteobacteria; Vibrionales; Vibrionaceae.